ACUCAAAUGAAUUGACGGGGGCUCACACAAGCGGUGGAGCAUGUGGCUUAAUUCGAGGCUACGCGAAGAACCUUAUCCUGGGCUUGACAUGUGCGAAAGCGGUAGCAAGUAGGGGGCGGAAACGUUCUCCGAUCGGUAUCCAGUCCGGAAGCUACUACAGGUGCUGCAUGGCUGUCGUCAGCUCGUGUCGUGAGAUGUCGGGUUAAGUCCCAUAACGAGCGAAACCCUUGCUUUCAGUUGCCAGCGAGUAAUGUCGGGGACUCUGGAAGGACUGCCGGUGUUAAACCGGAGGAAGGUGGGGAUGACGUCAAGUCCUCAUGGCCUUUAUGCCCAGGGCUGCACACGUGCUACAAUGGCAUGAACAAAGGGACGCAAACCCGCGAGGGGGAGCAAAUCCCAAAAAACAUGCCCCAGUUCAGAUCGAAGGCUGCAACUCGCCUUCGUGAAGUUGGAAUCGCUAGUAAUCGCAGGUCAGCAACACUGCGGUGAAUGUGUUCCUGAGCCUUGCACACACCGCCCGU
RNAcentral lists this ribosomal RNA (521 nucleotides) under uncultured bacterium. RNAcentral describes it as "partial 16S ribosomal RNA". It matches the Rfam family "Bacterial small subunit ribosomal RNA", at positions 899 to 1397 of the family's 1533-position model. The record is from RNAcentral.